RNAcentral lists this long non-coding RNA (569 nucleotides) under Malus domestica (apple). RNAcentral's name for it is "long non-coding RNA (MDOM_LNC007511)". The record is from RNAcentral. Lineage: Eukaryota; Viridiplantae; Streptophyta; Magnoliopsida; Rosales; Rosaceae.
GUAAAACAUAGUUACUAAUACGGAAUCAAGCAUUCAAGUUGAAGAACCAACUGUUUUGAACUAUUCAAGAACAAUUUACAACACCUUCGAAAGGUGUGUUCUUGACACUUGCAAGACAUUUCUUGCAAAUACCCCUUCCAAUAUCCAUCCUUUCAUAAAGAAAGUUUGUUCCCUUGGAGUUAUUUAUCUUCUUUAUCUGACUUCUCCUUUUGACUACAAUAGUCAUGGUCCCUAAACUCCCACUAUCUCUCUUGAAACCUUUUUCAAUUGUGUUAUACACAUCAAACAUUUUGGAGAGCAUGUGGUUAUUUUUCACUACAUAGUUUACAAUAAACUUAGUGAACGAUUAGGAUAGGGAAACAAAGGUGAAGUCCUUGCCUAGUUUCCGUCUCAUUAAGUGGUUUUAUCACUUCAACACUUAAUGAUUCAAAAUCAUUAUAAAUCCAUGUUAAUGGACUAUUUUUGUCAACCAACCAUUAUGUUCUAAACAUAAUUACAAACUUUUAAAGAGUUGUACAAGGCAACUCUUAUUUCUUCACACAACAAAUUGUAAGUGAAGAAUCAUGGCA